Molecule: unclassified non-coding RNA, 354 nt
Filed under: soil metagenome
Description: partial contains 5.8S ribosomal RNA, internal transcribed spacer 2, and large subunit ribosomal RNA
Rfam family: 5.8S ribosomal RNA (bases 1-121)
Source: RNAcentral
GAUGAAGAACGUAGCGAAAUGCGAUAAGUAAUGCGAAUUGCAGAAUUUCCGUGAAUCAUCGAAUCUUUGAACGCACAUUGCGCCCGCGAGUAUUCUCGCGGGCAUGCCUGUCCGAGCGUCAUUUCAACCCUCAGGGCCCGCCUGCUUCGGCAGGCGCGGCGCUGGUGUUGGGGAUCGGCCUAACCGCCGUCCCCCAAAUACAGUGGCGGUCUCGCUGCAGCCUCCCCUGCGUAGUAGCAACACUCGCAUGCGGAGCGCGGCGCGGCCACGCCGUAAAACCCCCGACUUUCUGAACGUUGACCUCGGAUCAGGUAGGAAUACCCGCUGAACUUAAGCAUAUCAAUAAGCGGAGGA